RNAcentral lists this ribosomal RNA (459 nucleotides) under uncultured bacterium. RNAcentral's name for it is "partial 16S ribosomal RNA". It matches the Rfam family "Bacterial small subunit ribosomal RNA", at positions 338 to 795 of the family's 1533-position model. The record is from RNAcentral.
CCUACGGGAGGCAGCAGUGAGGAAUAUUGGUCAAUGGGCGAGAUCCUGAACCAACCAAGCAGCGUGAGGGAAGACGGCCCUAUGGGUUGUAAACCUCUUUUGUCGGAGAAUAAAAUCCGGGACGUGUCCCGGACUGUGUGUACCUGAUGAAAAAGCAUCGGCUAACUCCGUGCCAGCAGCCGCGGUAAUACGGAGGAUGCGAGCGUUAUCCGGAUUUAUUGGGUUUAAAGGGUGCGUAGGCGGUCCGUUAAGUCAGCGGUAAAAUUGCGGGGCUCAACCGCGUCGAGCCGUUGAAACUGGCAGACUUGAGUAGGCGAGAGGUACGCGGAAUGCGCGGUGUAGCGGUGAAAUGCAUAGAUAUCGCGAAGAACUCCGAUUGCGAAGGCAGCGUACCGGCGCCAGACUGACGCUGAGGCACGAAAGCGUGGGGAUCGAACAGGAUUAGAUACCCGUGUAGUC